Molecule: ribosomal RNA, 440 nt
Filed under: uncultured bacterium
Lineage: Bacteria
Description: partial 16S ribosomal RNA
Rfam family: Bacterial small subunit ribosomal RNA
Source: RNAcentral
CCUACGGGGGGCAGCAGUGGGGAAUAUUGCACAAUGGGGGAAACCCUGAUGCAGCGACGCCGCGUGAGUGAAGAAGUAUUUCGGUAUGUAAAGCUCUAUCAGCAGGGAAGAAAAUGACGGUACCUGAUGAAGAAGCCCCGGCUAACUACGUGCCAGCAGCCGCGGUAAUACGUAGGGGGCAAGCGUUAUCCGGAUUUACUGGGUGUAAAGGGAGCGUAGACGGCAGCACAAGUCUGGAGUGAAAUGCCGGGGCUUAACCCCGGAACUGCUUUGGAAACUGUGCAGCUAGAGUGCAGGAGAGGUAAGUGGAAUUCCUAGUGUAGCGGUGAAAUGCGUAGAUAUUAGGAGGAACACCAGUGGCGAAGGCGGCUUACUGAACUGUAACUGACGUUGAGGCUCGAAAGCGUGGGGAGCAAACAGGAUUAGAUACCCCAGUAGUC